This 1067-nucleotide long non-coding RNA is filed under the name Manacus vitellinus (golden-collared manakin). RNAcentral describes it as "lncRNA (ENSMVIG00005005325.1)". Lineage: Eukaryota; Metazoa; Chordata; Aves; Passeriformes; Pipridae. The record is from RNAcentral.
AUGUUUUGUGCUUCCCUUUGGCUAAUUGGGGUGGCCUUUCCUGGUGCUGGGGAUCUGUUCUGCUCCAGCAGAGGGAAUCCCUGGGGCCUUUCAGAGCCUCCCGUGCCUGUUUGUGUCUGCAUCUCCUCACAGCGGAGCGGUGAAUUUAUGGAACACCUCUGCUGGGAGACCACUGGCUUUUCUUCUGGUCCGGCUCUCGCAGCGGUGGAAGAAGCAAUGAUCCAUGCUGAGAACAAACAGGAGGGAACAGGUUUCAACAUGCUUUGCUGCACGGGAAUUACAGUGUCACGGCAGCUGUUAUCACUCACCGGGGGCACAGAGGCUGCUCCGUGCGGGAGCGCCGCCAAGCGCCUCGCCAUGAAGCUGAGAAUUAAAUGGCUAAUAAGGCAUCUGCUCCAAGCAGGAGUCUCAAGAUUGUGACAAAAACAGCUUACAUCAGGGUUUGGGUUAUUGGUUUUUCUUGCCAUCAUAUAAUCAUGUUAUUAAAAUCUUUAGGGAUACCUGAUUAGAGGUAGUGACUGUCAAAGGCAGCUCAGCUGGCAGAGCAGAUAAGUAGGAGGUAUGUCCUGGUCUUAGCUGGGUGCUGCAGCUCUGCCUGGAGAUGAUGGGGUUCCUCUGAGCCCCAAGUGCCUGUGCAUGGGGGCUUGGGUGGGAUGGGUCUGUCUCAGGAGGAGAGCUGAACAGGCAUCUUGGAGAGCAGAAGAUGCACUGUGUUGGGUUGGGUGCAUAUAACUAAUACAAUUUUUUUUUUAUUUUCAAAAAAUCUAUUAAAGAAAAUAUAUUGUCAGACCUGUCAUUUGCAUGUUAACUUGAACUCCAAGUUCACACUAAUUCAGUUAAUUAAAGCUAUAUCUUGAUAGAAUGUGUUUUAUCCAUUGUGACUCUGGUCUUCAGUGCUGUGAUUAGCAAUUCUUGAAGAUAAAUAUUUUCAGUUGUGCUGGGCAUUGCUUCUGUUGCUUCCAUUGCUUCCAGUUAGAAAGUGUUGCUUAUUGCAAAGUCUCUGAGACUGCUACAGUGAUGGGCCUAGGAAAAAUAAAAUCUGGUUUUUAAUGAUGAAAUACUGAAUA